Ochotona princeps (American pika) is the source of this 118-nucleotide ribosomal RNA. The record is from Ensembl. NCBI's taxonomy places the organism in Eukaryota, Metazoa, Chordata, Mammalia, Lagomorpha, Ochotonidae.
GUCUACAGCCAUACCACCCUGAACGCGCCCGAUCUCGUCUGAUCUCAGAAGCUAAGCGGGGUCGGGCCUGGUUAGUACUUGGAUGGGAGACAGAAGGGAUGAGCACUGAGCAGAGUCC